RNAcentral lists this transfer RNA (70 nucleotides) under Correlophus ciliatus (crested gecko). RNAcentral's name for it is "tRNA-Trp". It matches the Rfam family "tRNA". Rfam says of the family: Transfer RNA (tRNA) molecules are approximately 80 nucleotides in length. Lineage: Eukaryota; Metazoa; Chordata; Lepidosauria; Squamata; Diplodactylidae. The record is from RNAcentral.
AGAAACUUAGGUUAAAUAAUAAACCAAGAGCCUUCAAAGCCCUAAAUAUGGGGCAACCCCCUAGUUUCUG